GACGAACGCUGGCGGCGUGCUUAACACAUGCAAGUCGAACGGUGAACGAGGGGGCUUGCUCCCUCCGGAUCAGUGGCGAACGGGUGAGUAACACGUGAGCAAUCUGCCCCGAACUCUGGGAUAAGCGUUGGAAACGACGUCUAAUACCGGAUACGACGCGGGAGGGCAUCCUCUCCGCGUGGAAAGAACUUCGGUUCGGGAUGAGCUCGCGGCCUAUCAGCUUGUUGGUGAGGUAACGGCUCACCAAGGCGACGACGGGUAGCCGGCCUGAGAGGGUGACCGGGCAAAAAGGGACUGAGAAAAGGGCCAGAAUCCUAAGGGAGGGAGGAGGGGGGAAAAAUGCAAAAAGGGGGGAAGGCUGAAGCAGGAAAGCCGGGGGAGGGAAGAAGGCCUUUGGGUUGGAAAACUCUUUUAGCAGGGAAGGAGGGAAAGGGAAGGUAACUGGAGAAAAAGCACCGGCUAACUACGUG
RNAcentral lists this ribosomal RNA (470 nucleotides) under uncultured bacterium. RNAcentral describes it as "partial 16S ribosomal RNA". It matches the Rfam family "Bacterial small subunit ribosomal RNA", at positions 28 to 507 of the family's 1533-position model. The record is from RNAcentral.